This 270-nucleotide ribosomal RNA is filed under the name uncultured bacterium. RNAcentral describes it as "partial 16S ribosomal RNA". It matches the Rfam family "Bacterial small subunit ribosomal RNA", at positions 29 to 285 of the family's 1533-position model. The record is from RNAcentral.
AAUGAACGCUGGCGGCGUGCUUAACACAUGCAAGUCGUGCGCGAAGGUGGCUUCGGCUGCCGGAGAGCGGCGAACGGGUGAGUAACACGUGGGUAAUCUGCCUGGGAGCGGGGGAUAACCUGGGGAAACUCGGGCUAAUACCGCAUACGUUGGCUGGGAUGCGUCCUGGUCAGGAAAGCUGGCCUCUGCUUGCAAGCUAGCGCUCCCAGAGGAGCCCGCGGCUGAUUAGCUAGUUGGUGGGGUAAAAGCCCACCAAGGCGACGAUCAGUA